CCCCUAGAUGUUCUGGGCCGCACGCGCGCUACACUGAACAGUUCAACAAGUCUUAACCUUGGCCGAUAGGUCUGGGUAAUCUUUGAACGCUGUUCGUGAUUGGGAUAGACCUUUGCAAUUAUGGGUCUUCAACGAGGAAUUCCUAGUAAACGCAAGUCAUCAGCUUGCAUUGAUUACGUCCCUGCCCUUUGUACACACCGCCCGUCGCUCCUACCGAUUGGAUGAUCCGGUGAGCUAUUCGGACCUUCGCUUCGUCGAUUUUCGGCUUUGUGAGGGAAAGUCUCGCGAACCUUAUCAUCUAGAGGAAGGAGAAGUCGUANCA
RNAcentral lists this ribosomal RNA (322 nucleotides) under uncultured eukaryote. RNAcentral's name for it is "partial 18S ribosomal RNA". It matches the Rfam family "Eukaryotic small subunit ribosomal RNA", at positions 1470 to 1796 of the family's 1831-position model. The record is from RNAcentral.